GUCGACGGCAGCACGAGUGCUUGCACUUGGUGGCGAGUGGCGAACGGGUGAGUAAUGCAUCGGAACGUGUCCUGAAGUGGGGGAUAACGCAUCGAAAGAUGUGCUAAUACCGCAUAUUCUCUGAGGAGGAAAGUGGGGGAUCGAAAGACCUUAUGCUUUUGGAGCGGCCGAUGUCUGAUUAGCUAGUUGGUGGGGUAAUGGCCUACCAAGGCGACGAUCAGUAGUUGGUCUGAGAGGACGACCAGCCACACUGGGACUGAGACACGGCCCAGACUCCUACGGGAGGCAGCAGUGGGGAAUUUUGGACAAUGGGCGAAAGCCUGAUCCAGCAAUGCCGCGUGAGUGAAGAAGGCCUUCGGGUUGUAAAGCUCUUUCAGUUGAGAAGAAAAGAUUGUGACUAAUAAUCACGAUUCAUGACGGUAUCAACAGAAGAAGCACCGGCUAACUACGUGCCAGCAGCCGCGGUAAUACGUAGGGUGCGAGCGUUAAUCGGAAUUACUGGGCGUAAAGGGUGCGCAGGCGGUUCUGUAAGUCAGAUGUGAAAUCCCCGGGCUUAACCUGGGAAUUGCGUUUGAAACUGCAGGGCUAGAGUGUGGCAGAGGGGGGUGGAAUUCCAUGUGUAGCAGUGAAAUGCGUAGAGAUAUGGAAGAACAUCGAUGGCGAAGGCAACCCCCUGGGUUAACACUGACGCUCAUGCACGAAAGCGUGGGGAGCAAACAGGAUUAGAUACCUGGUAGUCCACGCCCUAAACUAUGUCAACUAGUUGUCGGGU
RNAcentral lists this ribosomal RNA (772 nucleotides) under uncultured Nitrosomonas sp. RNAcentral describes it as "bacterial SSU rRNA". It matches the Rfam family "Bacterial small subunit ribosomal RNA", at positions 61 to 828 of the family's 1533-position model. The record is from RNAcentral. Lineage: Bacteria; Pseudomonadati; Pseudomonadota; Betaproteobacteria; Nitrosomonadales; Nitrosomonadaceae.